This 492-nucleotide ribosomal RNA is filed under the name uncultured bacterium. RNAcentral's name for it is "partial 16S ribosomal RNA". It matches the Rfam family "Bacterial small subunit ribosomal RNA", at positions 29 to 507 of the family's 1533-position model. The record is from RNAcentral.
AGUGAACGCUGGCGGUAGGCCUAACACAUGCAAGUCGAACGGCAACACAGUAAGAGCUUGCUCUUACGGGUGGCGAGUGGCGGACGGGUGAGGAAUACAUCGGAAUCUACUUUUUCGUGGGGGAUAACGUAGGGAAACUUACGCUAAUACCGCAUACGACCUACGGUUGAAAGCAGGGGAUCUUCUGACCUUGUGCGAUUGAAUGAGCCGAUGUCGGAUUAGCUAGUUGGCGGGGUAAAGGCCCACCAAGGCGACGAUCCGUAGCUGGUCUGAGAGGAUGGUCAGCCACACUGGAACUGGGACACGGUCCAGACUCCUACGGGAGGCAGCAGUGGGGAAUAUUGGACAAUGGGCGCAAGCCUGAUCCAGCCAUACCGCGUGGGUGAAGAAGGCCUUCGGGUUGUAAAGACCUUUUGUUGGGAAAGAAAAGCAGCAGGUUAAUACCCCGCUGUUCUGACGGUACCCAAAGAAUAAGCACCGGCUAACUUCGUG